GAUGAACGCUGGCGGCGUGCCUAAUACAUGCAAGUCGAGCGAACAGACGAGGAGCUUGCUCCUUCGACGUUAGCGGCGGACGGGUGAGUAACACGUAGGUAACCUACCUAUAAGACUGGGAUAACUUCGGGAAACCGGAGCUAAUACCGGAUAAUAUUUCGAACCGCAUGGUUCGAUAGUGAAAGAUGGCUUUGCUAUCACUUAUAGAUGGACCUGCGCCGUAUUAGCUAGUUGGUAAGGUAACGGCUUACCAAGGCAACGAUACGUAGCCGACCUGAGAGGGUGAUCGGCCACACUGGAACUGAGACACGGUCCAGACUCCUACGGGAGGCAGCAGUUGGGAAUCUUCCGCAAUGGGCGAAAGCCUGACAGAGCAACGCCGCGUGAGUGAUGAAGGUCUUCGGAUCGUAAAACUCUGUUAUUAGGGAAGAACAAACGUGUAAGUAACUGUGCACGUCUUGACGGUACCUAAUCAGAAAGCCACGGCUAACUACGUG
RNAcentral lists this ribosomal RNA (497 nucleotides) under uncultured bacterium. RNAcentral's name for it is "partial 16S ribosomal RNA". It matches the Rfam family "Bacterial small subunit ribosomal RNA", at positions 28 to 507 of the family's 1533-position model. The record is from RNAcentral.